AAACUGAUUAUUCCUCAAAACCUAUUAUCAUGAAAUAUUUUUUUUCAUAGGUACACUAAUUUGUGUCAAACCAAUGCUUUAUAGACACUCAAGUGUUUUAUCCUGAAUGUCUAUUUUUCGUUUCUGAUCAAUUUUCAAGUUAUAACGUAUUUCAAACAUUCAAGAGACCAUUGAUAGUAUUUAAAGAGGAAAACUAAAAAAAAAAAAAAAACUCAGGCUUACAAAAAACUUUAAACCAUAUACCAUUGCUUAUUAAUUCACAAAAAGAGCUCAACACACUCUCACGAACAUUAGUAACUUCACUUUCCGGGGACAAAGUUUGUGGCAUACGACCAAGCGUUGUUGGCCACGGGGUCAGCAAGGUGGUCAGCCAAGUUCUCCAAUGGGGUCCACCAGCAAUUCUGUAACCCUCAACAGCACCCAUUAAGAUGACUUGUGUAGCCCAAAUGGCCAAGAUGCUCUGGGCAUGAAUCAAACUUGGGUUGCCCAAGUAGUCAAGCCCACCCUCGCUGAAGAUUUGGGCUCCAGCCUUGAACCAAACCGCCUCACCGAACUUAACACCGUUUCUGGCUAGAAGCUCAGGGAAUACACAUCCUAGAGCUCCAAGCAUAGCCCACCUGCAGUGAAUCACUUCAAGUUCACGGUUCUUAGCAAAGGUUUCAGGGUCUGCUGAAAGCCCAGCAGUGUCCCAACCGUAGUCACCAGGGAAUUCACCAGUAAGGUAGCUUGGGGCCUCACCAGAGAAUGGGCCUAAGUACUUGACACGGUCUGGGCCGUACCAUGGGCUUCCAGAUGCAACCUGCUUGACUGUAGCCUUCCUCAUGGAAACGCGACCGUUUCCAGAAAGCUCAGAACCCGAUGGAGCUGCUUUCACAGCCUGUCCGGCGAAAGCGGAUGAGAGAGCCAUGGUUGAGGCAGCCAUUGUUGAAUUUGGAGUGUUUGUUUGAGUUAU
This 952-nucleotide long non-coding RNA is filed under the name Helianthus annuus (common sunflower). RNAcentral's name for it is "hypothetical non coding rna". The record is from RNAcentral. Lineage: Eukaryota; Viridiplantae; Streptophyta; Magnoliopsida; Asterales; Asteraceae.